Molecule: ribosomal RNA, 274 nt
Filed under: uncultured bacterium
Lineage: Bacteria
Description: partial 16S ribosomal RNA
Rfam family: Archaeal small subunit ribosomal RNA
Source: RNAcentral
AAACCAGCACCUCAAGUGGUCAGGAGGAUUAUUGGGCCUAAAGCAUCCGUAGCCUGUUCUGUAAGUUUUCGGUUAAAUCCAUUAGCUCAACUAAUGGGCCGCCGAAAAUACUGUAGAAGUAGGGAGUAGGAGAGGUAGACGGUAUUCGGUAGGAAGGGGUAAAAUCCUUUGAUCUAUUGAGGACCACCUGUGGCGAAGGCGGUCUACCAGAACACGUUCGACGGUGAGGGAUGAAAGCUGGGGGAGCAAACCGGAUUAGAAACCCGAGUAGUCC